Drosophila pseudoobscura is the source of this 1282-nucleotide long non-coding RNA. RefSeq lists it as uncharacterized. NCBI's taxonomy places the organism in Eukaryota, Metazoa, Arthropoda, Insecta, Diptera, Drosophilidae. The record is from RefSeq and is a predicted model, not a curated record. The transcript is spliced from 2 exons.
CUAAGGGAACUGUCGGCUGUAAUGAGUGCAAAUAAAUUUCAAGUAGGCUUAAAAUUUUCCACUUUUUUGACCUGGAAAUUGCCCGAACCGAACCUCUGGCCGCAGAGCUCCUUUUGCUCCUUAAUAUUCAAUGUAACCGCAGAAAUUCAUAUACAAAAAUAACACGAGCGUUAAGAGGGGCAAAAAGUGCCAUGAAUAAAAGAGAGGCGGAUAGCCAGAGUGAAGAGAGGUGGAGAGUACACACAGAGAGAAAGAUACAUAUACACAGCGAGAAAGGCAGGGCCAGCCGAAGAAAAUCACAAGGAGGACAGGACGGACGCCUACUGAUGGCGGGCGCUGCCUUUUUGUGACGCACUCGAGGGCCCGAUGAUAAAUGUCCCUCUGCAAAGCCAUGAAAUGAAUGAAGUAUGGCCACGCAUUUCCAAAUCGGCCCCAAGGCAAACAACGGCAAAGAAAAGCCACCAAAAUGGGUCGAAAAUGGGGGAAACAGGGGAAAAACUGGGAAAAAGUCACAGCAAAUGGAGUGAGGCAGAGGUGGUUUCCUUUGAAGAAGAAACAGAAGUAGGCUACUCCAUAUCAGGCACAAGACACAGCGGACAGAGGACAUGCAGAGACCAGAGAGAGGAAAAGCCCAAAGAAAAGCCAAAGAAAAGCAAGGAAAAUCUUGACAAACUCAACGACCGAAGAGCACUGCUUGUCAUUCAACGCGCUGUCAAGCGGCGGCUUCCUUGCUGCUGCUGCUGCUGCAUCGGAUUUUUCAACGAUUUUCGAGCCAACAUUCGAGGCGAAAGUUUUUUCUGGACAACUGGACACGCACACAGACACAGACACAGACUCACACACAUAAAUAUAAGGACAUGCGAUAGCAGAGGGGCGACUUUUGACCAGCCGAAAGUUGUUUUGGCUGUUUUUCUGUUCUGUUUUCUUUUUUUUUUUGGGUUUUCCCUUCAAGUUGAUGCUUGACUUUGGCUUGUCCCAUCCAUCCAUUCCUCUGUACGGUUACUAAGCCGCUUCGAUUCCUGCGCGUGUGUGUGUGAGUGUGUGGUGGCGUGGGGCGUGGCGAACGCAUCUGUUGGCCUGGUCAAUUUGGUGUGCAAAUUGUUUGGGCUGUCCCUGGCUCAAACGUCAAUAAUAUGUUGAUAAUCUGGCUAAAAAGAGGGGCUAAGAAGGGUGAGAAUUGUGCACAAAAAGCGUGUUUUGGGCUAAAAGAAAACUUGGUCAACAACUUACCAGCCAAAAGCAAAAGUAAAGCUGUAAGAAAAUUAGGAAAACAAAUAUUAAA